Molecule: unclassified non-coding RNA, 180 nt
Filed under: uncultured Ruhlandiella
Lineage: Eukaryota; Fungi; Ascomycota; Pezizomycetes; Pezizales; Pezizaceae
Description: sequence contains ITS2
Source: RNAcentral
CCCCCACACUCAAGUCUCUUAAUUGAAGCUUGGAUCAUUUUAAAGAAGUAGCUGAAAUACAAUAGGCUACUCUUUAGAAAUUCAUAGGCAGUAUGGCACCUGAACUAGGCGUAAUAAGAAUAUAAAAGCGUCUCUCUUUAGGAAGGUUGUACUUGCCUCAACCCACCCAUUUUCUCUUUU